GGGGGGGGGGGGCUCGUGCCGGCGCAGGACUGUCCCCGCCGGCCAGCAAUGGCGAGACCCCUCCCAGCAGCUAGCACGUGGCGGGGGCCAACACCGGCGAGCAGCGGCGGCGCGGCUGGCGAGUGAUAGGGCCAACGCCGAUGAGCAGUGGUGGCGCGGCCAGAGGCCAGCACCCUUUUUGCUUUUUUUACUUUUUAUUUGAUCUGCAGGGUGCCAUUUUUAGCUGCGAAAAGUAGGGGCGGGCAUCGGACCUGACCCUGCAAAUAAUAUUUCAACCAUCCCUAGAAAUGUUUUAUGUAGUAGUAGAAUUCACUAAAGCAUGAUCUCAUGCUUCCCUACUCUUUAGGUGCAUGAAUGAUGUUUCUUUACUCUUUAGGUAUUCAUGAUUGCCUAGAUCUGAUUAUUUGGUUGCUUGUAAUUGUUGGGAUUAGAGAUCCCGAAUAUGUGAUAUACGAGAGAGUGAGAAAGUUUAAGAGAGAAAGCAAAUGCGUAAAUGGC
RNAcentral lists this long non-coding RNA (498 nucleotides) under Setaria italica (foxtail millet). RNAcentral describes it as "long non-coding RNA (SITA_LNC006233)". The record is from RNAcentral. Lineage: Eukaryota; Viridiplantae; Streptophyta; Magnoliopsida; Poales; Poaceae.